Tyto alba (common barn owl) is the source of this 2451-nucleotide long non-coding RNA. RefSeq lists it as uncharacterized. The record is from RefSeq and is a predicted model, not a curated record. The transcript has 3 exons. NCBI's taxonomy places the organism in Eukaryota, Metazoa, Chordata, Aves, Strigiformes, Tytonidae.
CCCAGAAUUACCCGCCUCCGACUCUGCUGCUGCUGGGAUCCUCCCGCACCAGGCUGCUCUGGAAAGUUUCCGUGCAAUCAUACCCCCUUCCCAGCUAUAGAGGAUUACCUAGGUGUUGAGGGAAAGCUAAGAGAAUGAAGGCUCUAAGUCCCCAGUGGAAGCAUGAUAUGGCAAUGCAGUGCUGGUGCUGAAUUGUUCUCUCUGAUGGCUCUAUGGGAGUGGAUAGCACCGAGUCUUCAUUGCUGGGUUUUAGCAGUUGCUGCUGUUUCCGAUCAGCAUGCCACAAGCCCCUUCGACUGGCUUCUCUCUGAUAAGGGACCCUUCCAUCGCUCACAGGAAUACACAGAUUUUGUGGACAGAAGUCGACAGGGAUUUAGCACAAGAUACAAGAUUUACAGGUAAUGCAUAGUGCCAGAGAUGAAGGCCUUUAUCCUGCACCAUGGUUUGACGUGAAUUUGAAGGGAUCAAGGUCACAUACUGCAGGACCAUGAAAGAUACAGAAUGAUUAAAAUCAAGAUAAUAGGACAGUGGACUGGAAAAGCACGUAUUAAAGAGAACAACAAAAAAUAUUAAGGUGAGGAUUACUUGCAACUUGUUGGAAACGUCAUCAUUUCUCAGCUACUGAGUAAAACAAUAUUGUGUCACUUGUUUUAUCCCUGUCAUUUUUCAUGUUAUGAGACAGACUGAUUUUCAAGUUUAAUUUCACCAGAACAUACAUGGCAAUUUCUUUCCAUAAUGUCCAGUAGCCUUAUUUUUUCAGUUGUUAAAUUAUAUAACCUGUUUUUAUUUAAAUACAUGGAUUCCAACUUUUAGACUAAACCAAGAAAAAAUGUAUCACUGUAUGACUCUAUGCUAGCAUUUGUAUUUUCCCCGUAUCUAUUUGUAUGUCAAUGAGGCAAAAAUCAACUGCUUUGUAUCCACACCUCCUGGUCACUAUAAACAAGUGUUCAUCUGAUCAUGAAUCUGCUCUAAAUUGUAGAGAUGAAGGCAAAGAUUGGCACUGAGGAACACACUUAUUAACUGAGCCCAAUUUUUUAUGAGAGGUCUUAACAAUAUUUUUCUUAAACAUAAAAGUUACACUUUGGAUUAUCUCCCUAUCUAGCUUUCUGAGCAGAAAACAACCAUGUGAUAAAAAACAAUGGAUGCAUAAACUAUGGGAAAGUAGCAGUAGAAAAAUCUGCUGUCAUCCAUAUUUUAAUCUAUACAAUAUAGAACAGUUAUGUCCAUAGGCAAACAAGCCGAUUCUGUAGUGUGCUUACCUCCUCAAGGAGAGGAGCUUUCAACAUUACAAUAAAGAGCUGAGUCAUAUAUAUGUAAUAAAGUUUUAUAUGUAUUACAUGUAAUAAUGUUUUAAUCAGGUAUUGCAGAACACUAGAUAAUUGCAACUGAUGUUACCUACAUUGUUAUAAAAUGGGAAUGGUGGGCUUGUUAUGUUGAUUAUGUGGCAGUGUGGUAUUCCCUAUAAUUCUUUGAAGGAAAUAUCCUGCUGCAGGAAAUUUAACAAUUGCCACAGUUUUUGGUGGCAUUCAUUGCCACUGAUCUAUGAAGAGAAAUGCCAGGAAAGCAGCUGGAUGGCUUCUGAAGACAUCUAAAUUAGUGGGAAUGCUGUGUCAGUAUUUUAUGGAAGGUGGCUCCUCUAGUUAAUAUCAGUAAAUAUUUUGACAAGGAAAACCAAGUUUAUAAUUUGUUAUUUAAUACACAAUGGGAGUACUAUGCCUCUUAUGUAAAUCAGCUACCCAGACAAAGGGAUUUAAAUCCAAACAGAAUGAGAUGAGAGGUUAACAGGAUGGAAAGAGUGAUUAUGAAAUUAUGCAAAGAACCUAUAUUUUAUCAGAAGAGGUAAUUUCUACAGAGAUAGGGAAGUAUUCAUGCUAUCAAAUAAGGUCCUGAGGAAAUCUCCUCAGGGAUACUGUGUAGUUUUGUUCAAGCAAAAUGAUUUAAAAUCUGAAACAGAUGUGAAAAAUCUGGAUCAAAAAGAGCCUAAUUUUUUUUUUUUUAAGGCAGAAAUGUUUUCAUGUUUAGGCAAAAAAAAAAAAAGCUGAAAGAGGAUAUAAUUCCUGUCAAUAUAUAAAUACACGUAUCAUAAAGUGAGAUGAACUAUUUAAACCAAAAGCCAUCACUGUCAUAAACCCAAAUUGGUAUACACUGGCUAUGAAUAAAUUUAGGCUGGCUAUUUAAAGUUUUCUAAUAAUUAGAGUAAAAUAGUUCUGGGACAUAUUAAGUUACAGAACAUUACCGAUCUUAUGAAUAGGGGGAAAAGGGUCAUAAGAUGUGUUGCUUAUAACAGUGGACUAGAUUUUAGUAUCCAUUGAUAUCUCUUCGAGGUAAGUAUCCUUAACAAGUGUAGAACACUAUUUUGUAAAAGAAAAAAAAAAAUCUCCUAAAGUGCUGAGUAGCUCUGUGCAGCAUGAUAUUUGUGUGGCUUAAGAAGUGUUCCUUUAAAGGUUGUUU